Molecule: long non-coding RNA, 520 nt
Filed under: Lactuca sativa (garden lettuce)
Lineage: Eukaryota; Viridiplantae; Streptophyta; Magnoliopsida; Asterales; Asteraceae
Description: long non-coding RNA (LSAT_LNC006134)
Source: RNAcentral
AAAAGGAUAUACAGGUUUUUAACUAUGUAUGAAAAUAUAUAUUCUUAUCUACUAAUAUGUUAGGUAGAACAUGGGUAGAUAGUUGGUGUGUAAUAAACAGAUGAGAGGCCUCAAUGUUGUUGUUGUUGUUGAUCUAGUUAUUCAGCGGAGUAUGGAUAACGACCACGGACUCUUUCUAGACAGUCCAGUGGAACGCUAGCAGGUUCAUAACCUGUAGGUGUUGUGAACGAUGUGUUCACCGGUGUACUCUAUCCCCCUCAUGGUUGCCUUUAGGAUAUCUAUUGNUAUAUUUUUAUCUACUAAUAUGUUGGGUAGAACAUGGGUAGAUAGUUGGUGUGUAAUAAACAGAUGAGAGGCCUCGAUGUUGUUGUUGUUGUUGAUCUAGUUAUUCAGCGGAGUAUGGAUAACGACCACGGACUCUUUCUAGACAGUCCAGUGGAACGCUAGCAGGUUCAUAACCUGUAGGUGUUGUGAACGAUGUGUUCACCGGUGUACUCUAUCCCCCUCAUGGUUGCCUUUA